This 1171-nucleotide long non-coding RNA is filed under the name Numida meleagris (helmeted guineafowl). RNAcentral describes it as "lncRNA (ENSNMEG00000004766.1)". The record is from RNAcentral. Lineage: Eukaryota; Metazoa; Chordata; Aves; Galliformes; Numididae.
CUAGUGUAGAAAACUGAGACUGCACUAAAAAAGGCUAAAAUAAUAUGAAGCUAAAGUAUUAUAUUUUCAGAAACCCUUCAGUGAAGAUUUCCUUUAUAAUAACUAAUUUCAUCCUUUCUUCUUAUAUGUGACAUAUUUUCAACCAAUACACAUGAGUCACGUUGUUCACAAGAUCUGUUUUCCUAGCUUUGGCUGUGCUGCAAGAUUGUUGAGAGGAUGCCAAGGCUGUGGCAGCUGCGACGCAUUCUUUGUCUCUGUACCAGGACGGACUGACCAGGAGCAGGAUGUCUUGCACCCACAGCACCAGACCUGCACGCAGAAAAUAUCUGUAGGCAACUUUUAUAUAAAACAUGAUGUGCAUGAGCAAUGUUAUGAUCUGCUACAUGAUGCUGAUGGCAGAAAGAACCUUCCUCUCAGGACUCAUGGCUUCAGUCAAACCAGGAUACCGGCGUAACUUCUGUGAACUAAAUGCAAACACUUCUGACAGCUUUGUGGCUCUUUGCCAGCAAUUUUGCAGCAGGCGUCUCCUUACAGGUAAGGCUGCCACCUGCUCACAAUGGCUCCUCAUGCAUGGGGCUCUGUUUUCCCCUGUUCCCUGCUCUGGAGAUGGCAGGGCUGUGAAUGAUAAUGUGCUGCCAGCCAUUCAGCAUUUUGCUUUUUGUGAUACCAUUCCAUAAAGCAGUGUCUUUUGAUAUUAACUCUGAGUUUAACUACAGCAAAGUAACAAGGCAUCUCCCUCACAAGGAAAAAAAUAGAGCUGAGAAAAUGGCAUUUGGCUGUUACAGAGCUGCUACUAACCUUAGCACUGAAUAUAUUGCUUCAGACUUCUUGUCUUCAGUUCAUUAGCCAGAACUCUUCUGACAUGAGCAUGGUUUUGUUGUAUUUCUAUCUCACAUCCCUUGUUUCUGUCAGUUUGACUUCGUUGCUAUGUAUAAAAUCAAACUGAGCCUUGUUUUACAAUCCCAGCGUUGUCUGUGGAAUCCGACCAGCACAAGAGCUCCAUUAGCAAUGUUAUUCUUCUCUGUAGUCACUGUCACACUCAGUUAAGCUCCAGUUUUAUUUUCUGUCAUAAAACAGCAUUCUUGGUCACAGUAAUUCUGUUACCACAACGAUGUGAGAACCAGUAAAAUAUAUUAAUGAAUUAAUAAAGAUGUAUGUGGCUUAGUUUACA